AUCCAUCUGACGAGUCCCAAAUAGGACGAAACGCGCGUCAAACAGGAU
RNAcentral lists this non-coding RNA (48 nucleotides) under Schistosoma mansoni. Lineage: Eukaryota; Metazoa; Platyhelminthes; Trematoda; Strigeidida; Schistosomatidae. The record is from RNAcentral.